This 301-nucleotide ribosomal RNA is filed under the name uncultured bacterium. RNAcentral's name for it is "partial 16S ribosomal RNA". It matches the Rfam family "Bacterial small subunit ribosomal RNA", at positions 509 to 809 of the family's 1533-position model. The record is from RNAcentral.
CAGCCGCCGCGGGAAUACAGAGGGUGCGAGCGUUAAUCGGAUUUACUGGGCGUAAAGCGUGCGUAGGCGGCUUCUUAAGUCGGAUGUGAAAUCCCUGAGCUUAACUUAGGAAUUGCAUUCGAUACUGGGAAGCUAGAGUAUGGGAGAGGAUGGUAGAAUUCCAGGUGUAGCGGUGAAAUGCGUAGAGAUCUGGAGGAAUACCGAUGGCGAAGGCAGCCAUCUGGCCUAAUACUGACGCUGAGGUACGAAAGCAUGGGGAGCAAACAGGAUUAGAUACCCCCGUAGUCCCUGUCUUUUAUAC